This 432-nucleotide long non-coding RNA is filed under the name Mytilus galloprovincialis (Mediterranean mussel). Lineage: Eukaryota; Metazoa; Mollusca; Bivalvia; Mytilida; Mytilidae. The record is from RNAcentral.
CAAAAUCAGCAAGUUCUUCAACAAAUUAUGUUAGAAAAAUUCCUUAUUCAGAAAAAUUAGUGACUAAAUCUUCAUAUCGCCUUUGCCUAGUUCAUAUAAAACGUCAUCAAGUAACAAGUCAGAUAAAUCAAUGUCACCUCCUUCAAUUCCCUCAAAACCUUUUACAAAACAGUUAAAACUACACUCAGCAACAUAUUCUCAACACAAUUCAGACUCAAAUCCAGCAAAGAAAAUAAAACGGGAACAUACAGUAAAAGAAACAAUUUCCAAGGAACAUCGGAAGAAAUCAAAUAGUGCGAAAAGAAGUAAAUUCUAAAGAUGCACGUGAAAAUGUGCUGGUGUAUGGGCCACCAAAGAAUGAAAAACCAGUAUCUUCCAAUCCACCUGAGAGAAUAUAUGGAGAAAUUAAGAACAAUCAACCAACACAGCCAG